RNAcentral lists this long non-coding RNA (284 nucleotides) under Nicotiana benthamiana. Its description in RNAcentral is "long non-coding RNA (NBEN_LNC038189)". Lineage: Eukaryota; Viridiplantae; Streptophyta; Magnoliopsida; Solanales; Solanaceae. The record is from RNAcentral.
UCUGAUCUUGAGCGGAUGAGUUAGAACCAGGCUCGAAAUGCUUUGGAUAUGCCGGAGCAAGGCCUGAGAGGCCCCCAAAACCAUGGAUAUAAGGAGAUCUAAAAGGACACCAUCAAGGUCAGACCUCAAAACUUCGAACCCCAAAUGUUUAAUAGUGGAAGGAGGUGAGUACAUGCCAUCCAUAGAUUGAGAAGUCAUGAUUCCGGUGAGAGGGCGGCUAAAGAUGGUAGAAGAUUACUAGGAUUUCAGGAACCUUCGACAGAUUUUGAGAGGAGAGGGAUUUC